CAAAGGGAGGGGACUGGCUUCCUAGAGGGCUGUAGAGAUGAGUACCGUGAACAGGGCUGCUAAGAUUUGCAGGUCUGAGGCCCUGGAAAGAGAGGAAAGGAGUCAGAGGCAGGAGCUGAAGGUGCUGGGGUUGUGGGGAAGUGGCUCAGGGAAUUGACAGGCUGGUAGAGAAAGAAAAGCAGGGCAGUGGACCCAGGGUAGUGGGUGAGUCUGGGUCUCCUCCCCUCUUGUGGGUGAAGAAGCGGCCAGUCUAUGGACCACCAAGCCCUGUGAGCUGCAACUGUACUGCUGUGGAAGGAGACCCCUGGAAGGAGGAACCUGGAUUGUGACAUAGCUGAGGCAGUGAGAUUGGAACUGCAGUGGAUCUGCAGGCAGAGAUUGGAUGGGAGAACCACCACCAAAGGGCACACCUGCUGACCAGAGCUAAUUCCUGAAAUGGCCAGCAGGAGGCACUAGUGUGGAAGACGAAUGCUGUCAGAACUAAGUGCAUUUGGAUGAAUAUAAUAGUUUUGAAAGAUCCACACAGCUCUGUCAAUGCACCUUAAUCCUGGAGAAACUGUAUGAAUGGAUGGAAAAUAGAACAGCUUGUUUAGCCAGGAAAGCAUGACUGAGGUUAUGGAAUGAAAGACACUGUGCAGUCGGACACACUGAAAUAGAUCUGGAACCCCAGGAGGACCUUACUGGAGAGGCUGAUACAGACUGGUCAACAUGGCAAAGCCUGAAGCGCCUGCGCACGCAUACUGGCAGAUCAAAGACUAAUAUGAUCAAAUAGGGUUUCUAAUAUAUGUGAUUGUGGCUUGGUGCAGACCACGGAGCUCCUGCCAUUUGUCGACUCUUUGGGGAGACCUGUACAAAGAAGGAUCUCACUGCUGAGAUGGAGAGAGCCAUCGCUUGAGCACGGUUCUGGAAAAAACAUAUAGUUUGUGACAAGGACAUGAGAACAAGAAGCUUGUUUAGUGAGUUUAGAGAUGCAUGUAGGCCACAGAGCUAUGGGUAGCAAGGAACAACUCCCAGCAUGUGCUGUCAGAAGCUCUGUCUCUCUCUCGGGGGAUGGUCUAUGAGUGAUGGUCAGAGGGAUAUACUCAGGAGCUGACAAGUGAAGGAACAAUGUCACAUGAAUGCACUCUAUUGGAACAAGUCUUUCUCUGUUCGUUCACUGGGAUUCAUUCUUCCAGGGUGGCAUUUCAGGUAGUUCCCAUACAUCUUUGGGGAUACAGGGUGUUCUGAAAUUGUGCCUAAUUCAGUUAGCCUUUAUUUUUACUUGUCCAAACACACAGGUGUCCUGCACUGUUGUCUUUCCCCUGUUGCAAGGAGAAUAGACAGUGAGACCACACAGUUUGCUCUAGGACUGCAGAGAGAACGAUUGAAGGCUCCUGUCUUCCCAUCUUGGGACCUCUGUAAAAUUAGCUAGGUUUAAAUAAAACACCCUAUUUUACUUUGGACUGAAAUUGUGUCCCUCACCUCAUUUACAUGAAUCCCAAUGAAAUGGAAAACCAGCUUGAGGAGUUUAUUAGGAGUUAGGUGGGAUUAAAAAGAGCAGACUAUAGGGCUUGACUGAAAACUACUGACGGUUUUUAAAAGCACUAGGAUUUUUUCUCCUCCCUUUAAUUUCCUGGCUGGAACUUGGCACCAGAAGGACACUUCACACCUUCUGAUUUGGUGACAUCGGCACAUACUACACACAGCAGUCACCUUCUUUUAAAAAACAGCCACCCCCCCAUACGUCUCCUUUUCCAAUUAACCCUGUC
This is a long non-coding RNA of Dermochelys coriacea (leatherback sea turtle), 1748 nucleotides long. RefSeq lists it as uncharacterized. The transcript is spliced from 4 exons. The record is from RefSeq and is a predicted model, not a curated record. NCBI's taxonomy places the organism in Eukaryota, Metazoa, Chordata, Testudines, Dermochelyidae.